UCUGCCUCUAGAGGUGCUGCAGCUGUGGCUGCUGUGUGUCAGUAGGUGACAGAGAAGAGAGAGGAUAUGUCUGUACUCAUUGUUCCGCCCUAUGAACACUCUGAAUGAACAGCAGUCUAACAUG
Molecule: small nucleolar RNA, 124 nt
Filed under: Meriones unguiculatus (Mongolian gerbil)
Lineage: Eukaryota; Metazoa; Chordata; Mammalia; Rodentia; Muridae
Description: Small nucleolar RNA SNORA17 (ENSMUGG00000003681.1)
Rfam family: Small nucleolar RNA SNORA17
About the family: snoRNA ACA 17 belongs to the H/ACA family of snoRNAs and is predicted to guide pseudouridylation of the 28S rRNA at positions U4659 and U4598. It shares the same host gene together with ACA43.
Source: RNAcentral